CCUCCCACCUGGCCCCCCCUCUCCCGUCCAGGCCCGCCCCCUCCCCGGCCUGGCCCCGCCCUCACAUCCAGGCCCAGCCCCCCUGCAGAACCUGAGCCCCCUGAGCUGGAGGGGGCACAUCGGCUCCGUCCCCAUCCUCCCCCCUCUCCUCCCCUGUCUUCCUUCAGACUCUUCAAAAAAUACUUAAUAUGAUUAACAUCCAGAUCGAAGCGCAAGUCUCAGGUCCGCAGCUGGAGGGGCCUUAACGAACCUUGCCCGUUCCUUCCUCUCCACCUUUUCUCUCCCCACUCCCCACCAGGACCCAGGCAACCGCUGAUCUGCUUUCCGUUACUACAGAUUAAGUUUUCGCUUUCUGGCGGUUCAUGGAUGUUCUUCCCCCACAAAGACCUGAGGCCAGGUCGCUGCCCAGAUAUACUACUUGGACACGAGGUUAGCCUGGGAAAGCUCUCCGCAUGGCAGGAGCUGGUGUGUGGAUCUGUUUUCGACGCGACAGGCUGACCUGUCUGUGGUCCUAGCUGCGCCCGGAUUGCCUUGAUGACGGCCUGGGCUCACCCCACUUCCCGAGCGGAUGCGGUCCUUCCUCCUUGGGUCCAGACUGCUCUUCUGAUUCCUGAGGGCAUGGCUCAGCCUCGCUUAGUACCCGCUUGCUAAGGGCCUGCCCUGCGUCACUCUAUCUUUGGUACCAACAGUCGGCUCGCUACCAUGGGAUUUUUUUUUUCUUCCCCUCCUUUCCUUCAACUUGAAGAAAACCCCCUCCUGCUCAUUUUCCCUGCUGUCCUGCCCGUGUAAAUCCCUGUAAGGCUGGACAGAAUUCUCUCUCCCCUGUAACUUGGGAAAGGCAGGUGAACUGGUGUGUGGCAGGAUCUGGGAUCGCCAGAGGACACAAAAUACUCCUCGUAGAGGUGUCCCGGUAGCAGGUUUACGGUAGGUCAUCACCAGGAUCCUGUCACCCUGUCCACGUACGCGUGCACACGUGCGCAUAAACACGUCCAAAUAGCGAGAACUGUAACGCGCUCUAUAGUUGUUGUCUUAUUAUCAGGGAUGCUUUUGGUCCUCUCUUCACUUUGAUUGUCUUGAGCACGUCAGCGAGGUGGAAACAGAAGUGCAAGGACCUUGGGGCCACGUUUCCUCUGGCGGAGGGCCUGUGACCGCGGCCCAACCCUGUGACCUGCGGCCCAACCCUGUGACCGCGGCCCAACCCUCACCGAGCGCAGGCCCUGCCUGGUAUUUUUCUUUCAUUAGGGACCAUUGACUUUCUGGAGGGAGGAGUGAUGUUUACCGCACACCUGGCGCAUGUCAGGGACCCUGAUAGCCGCUUUGGCUUCUAAAGAGCAGCUUCAAAGUCCUUGGGCUCCUUGUUUUCUCUGAAAAUGGUGCCUUUCUGGGUGGUUCUGAGGAAUCAGUGAAGCAAGCGUGGCACCGGGACUGGCGUUGCCGGCAGCCCGUGGCUGAUUCAUCCACCAGCGGCUCUGGGCUCACCUGGUGACAAGCAGGGAGGGUGACCUCGCAGGAUCGCUGCCCUCCCUGGAGCAGGUCCAGUCCUAACUCGGUGCCCGGGGGUCGAAGACCGCGACAGCAGGAGGCCCAGGUUAUCCUGCCCUCGCCCGGGGGAGGGGUGGGGGCUGCCCCCGAGGCUCCUGAGUGCCUGGGAAGGGCUGAGUGCCCCGCUGGGCACUGGACGGCCUGUCGCUGGAGGCCGCAGUGGGGCCCGGCAGGCCCGGCUCCGAGUGACACUGUGCCCUCCGCACUGGCGGCGGGGACCCGGGAGGUGCUGGCCCUGCCCUGAGCACCCAGAGGUGCG
Molecule: long non-coding RNA, 1801 nt
Filed under: Canis lupus familiaris (dog)
Lineage: Eukaryota; Metazoa; Chordata; Mammalia; Carnivora; Canidae
Description: lncRNA (ENSCAFG00030020867.1)
Source: RNAcentral